This is a non-coding RNA of Oryza glaberrima (African rice), 203 nucleotides long. The record is from Rfam. Lineage: Eukaryota; Viridiplantae; Streptophyta; Magnoliopsida; Poales; Poaceae.
UUUAAAUGCAUCUAUGAGUUUUCGUGCCCAACUUUAAUUGUCCGUCUUAUUUAAAACAAAUUAUAAUUAAUAUUUUUAUUGUUAUGAGAUGAUAAAAUAUAAAUAGUACUUUGUUCGUGACUUAUGUUUUUAAUUUUUUUAAAAAAAAUUUAAAUAAGAUGAACGAUGAAAACUAGACGCGGAAAAUCAUGGUUGUACUUAGA